GGCUCCAUGACCCAAUGGUGGGGCAGCGGAUUCCAAAUCCGAAGGUUGUGGGUUCAAGUCCAUUGGGGUCA
This 71-nucleotide transfer RNA is filed under the name Pleodorina starrii. RNAcentral describes it as "tRNA-Trp". It matches the Rfam family "tRNA". From Rfam's summary of the family: Transfer RNA (tRNA) molecules are approximately 80 nucleotides in length. Their secondary structure includes four short double-helical elements and three loops (D, anti-codon, and T loops). The record is from RNAcentral. Lineage: Eukaryota; Viridiplantae; Chlorophyta; Chlorophyceae; Chlamydomonadales; Volvocaceae.